UACCAACCUAUUCAAUUUAGAAGAUUGAGUCUCAAAUAUUAUUGCUUGACGGUCUGAUUUAGCCCAUACCAAUUAGAUCAGUCAUGUGAUAAUUGAUUAAAUGAGACCUAAAUCUAAAUCUCUUCAUAAAUAUUAAAUCUAAUGAUCUUCCACCAUUGUAGAUGUGUGGGCGUGCUACCGACGUUGAUUAUUCUUGACUGGUCAUAGUGGUUCAGUUGCAUCAAAAACACGCAACCACUCUAUUAGCAAAGAGUUGCUCCAGGAUAAAGAUGGUGUUGAACCCAAUAACUGUUAGGUGAGGGAUCUAAUGAUGACUUUGCACCUGCUUGUGAACGGUGGGUCUGACUUAACUAAAGAAUAUGGUUAAUAACUGUUAGGUGAGCCUACAUGACUUAGAGAUCAAGUCACUACAAUAUGCUUCAAGAAGUAUCUGAACAAAGAGUUAUCCAUACAUCGAUGUGCAUGUUACUAAUAACUAUUAGGUGAGGUGCAUGGCAUCGAUGGGAUCGCCAAUACCCACUAGAAAUCAGUUGUCGCGAUAGGAUUUUUGUUUGUCCACCCGAAGAGUGUGGGAGAUCUAAUAAAAUAGUGAGUCUUUUUGCAUCUAAAAAUUUUUAGGAUAAAUUAUAAAAUAAGUAUAAACAUUCAAUUAGAAUCUUUGCUCUCUAAUGUUCAUUGUGUCAGCUUCCAACCCUCUAGCUUGAAUCCUAGAUAUCAACCGUUUAAUCGAAAUCAAUUACAUAGAAUAGCUCAGAAACCUAAGAAUUAUUUUUAAUUUUAAAAAAUUAUGCAAUAUUCUCUAUCAGGUUAUUUUGAUGUUAACAGCCUGUCCAGCCUGAAAUCAACGAGCUAUGCUUGAUGAGUGGAUGGACAAUGACAAUAAAGAUAGAUAAUAUAUGUUGAAGUUCAUGUUAUAUGAACUCCAACAUAUGCAUGAGCACAUGUUCACUGCCAAUGACACAUUGAUUCAUUUAUAAUGUUGUGAGGUGAUCAAAGUCGCACAAUACAUAAGAUGCGUGAUAGACAGUUAGUCUAUGAUCAUUAUUUGAUAAUGAUCAAAGACAUUAAGGAGCUUAAAAGGCUCGACAUGACCAUGCAUAAAGAAUUGCUUAUGAAUUUGAUCUUGUGAUUCAUAUUUAGUUUAUAUGAAUAGUUUAUGAUAAACUACCAUAUAAAUAACCAUCUUGGCAUCUUAUCCGAAUUGGUCAAAGUGUUGGUAACAAAGAAAUUUUGAAAGAGUUCAGAGAUAAAUACUUGGAGAGCCUAAAGAAACAAAGACAUGCCUAGAGUAGGCAUGUCAAAAUUGCUUAAUACUAUCCUUAUGAUUUUCUUUUCUUUCAGUUGAGUUUUAGAUCCUAGCGCUUUUUAUGCAUAGUCUAUGGAAAGGUAGAGGGAUGAGAAAGUAACCCUUGAAAUUGGUAAUAGGACAAGAGUUGCUGCUAUGACCAUGGGUGUCUGUCCUUUGUGAUUAUCAUUUAGAUUUAGUUCUUAGAAACAGUCUCUAUCAUUUGCAUUAUGACGCAUCUGUGAACUUAAUUGGACAAGCAAUGAAUGCCAUUAAAUCUGAGAGAUCUAGAAUUGAGAUAAAUCUUGAGUAUAUGUAGAGCCUUAGGCUAAGUCAUAUAGGAGAAGAAAUGAUUAACAAACUGAAGAAUUAUGAGCUUUUGGGCUCAUUAACUAUUUAGUCAUAUCUAGUUUGUGCAACAUCUCUUUGAAAAAAUAUGAUCAAACUACUCUUGUGGGACAAAAGGAAAAGGACCACUGAGAUACUUAUCUUUGUACACAUUUGAUGUGUGUAGCCCAUGUGAUGUGCUAACAAAAAAGUUAUCUCUACUUCGUUACCUUUAUCGAUGAUCAGUCAUGAUAUGGGUAAGUAUAUGAGAUACAAAUCUGAAAUUUUUAAAAGGUUCAAAGAAUUCAGAUGUAAGUAGAGAAGUAAAUCAAAAAAUUUUUAAAGAUACUUCGAUUGGAUCGAAGAUGCAAUACCAAUGAAAAAAAAUUUUGAUUAUCUCAUAAAAUGACAUAGUUUCAUAUUGGACCACUCUUAAUACAUCUC
Molecule: long non-coding RNA, 2056 nt
Filed under: Elaeis guineensis (African oil palm)
Lineage: Eukaryota; Viridiplantae; Streptophyta; Magnoliopsida; Arecales; Arecaceae
Description: long non-coding RNA (EGUI_LNC043734)
Source: RNAcentral